CCUACGAGAGGCUGCAGUGAGGAAUAUUGGUCAAUGGACGAAAGUCUGAACCAGCCAAGUAGCGUGAAGGAUGACUGCCCUAUGGGUUGUAAACUUCUUUUAUAAAGGAAUAAAACGAGGCACGUGUGCCUUUUUGCAUGUACUUUAUGAAUAAGGAUCGGCUAACUCCGUGCCAGCAGCCGCGGUAAUACGGAGGAUCCGAGCGUUAUCCGGAUUUAUUGGGUUUAAAGGGAGCGUAGAUGGGUUGUUAAGUCAGUUGUGAAAGUUUGCGGCUCAACCGUAAAAUUGCAAUUGAUACUGGCAGUCUUGAGUACAGUUGAGGUAGGCGGAAUUCGUGGUGUAGCGGUGAAAUGCUUAGAGAUCACGAAGAACUCCGAUUGCGAAGGCAGCUUACUAAACUGCCACUGACAUUGAUGCUCGAAAGUGUGGGUAGCAAACAGGAUUAGAUACCCGAGUAGUC
Molecule: ribosomal RNA, 460 nt
Filed under: uncultured bacterium
Lineage: Bacteria
Description: partial 16S ribosomal RNA
Rfam family: Bacterial small subunit ribosomal RNA
Source: RNAcentral